RNAcentral lists this ribosomal RNA (497 nucleotides) under uncultured bacterium. RNAcentral's name for it is "partial 16S ribosomal RNA". It matches the Rfam family "Bacterial small subunit ribosomal RNA", at positions 28 to 506 of the family's 1533-position model. The record is from RNAcentral.
GAUGAACGCUGGCGGCGUGCCUAAUAAAUGCAAGUCGAGCGAACAGACGAGGAGCUUGCUCCUCUGACGUUAGCGGCGGACGGGUGAGUAACACGUGGAUAACCUACCUAUAAGACUGGGAUAACUUCGGGAAACCGGGGCUAAUACCGGAUAAUAUAUUGAACGGAAUGGUUAAAUAGUGAAAGACGGUUUUGCUGUCACUUAUAGAUGGAUCCGAGCCGCAUUAGCUAGUUGGUAAGGUAACGGCUUACCAAGGCAACGAUGGGUAACCCACCCGAGGGGGGGAAUCGCCCACACGGAACCGGGAACACGUACCAGACCCUAACGGGGGCAGGCAUUGGGAAUCCUCCCGCAAGGGGCGAAGCCCGAACGAGGCAACGCCGCGGGGGUGAGGAAGUUCUUCGAUUCGUAAAACUCUUUUAUUAGGAAAAAACAAAGGGUAAAUUACCAAGGCACGUCUUAACGUAACCUAAUCAGAAGACCACGCCAACCUACGU